UAAGACGAAGGGGGCUAGCGUUGUUCGGAAUUACUGGGCGUAAAGCGAGUGUAGGUGGUUUUCCAAGUUGGAUGUGAAAGCCUUGAGCUCAACUCAAGAAAUGCAUUCAGGACUGGGAGACUAGAGGACCGGAGAGGAUAGUGGAAUUCCCAGUGUAGUGGUGAAAUACGUAGAGAUUGGGAAGAACACCAGUGGCGAAGGCGGCUAUCUGGACGGUUUCUGACACUAAGACUCGAAAGCGUGGGGAGCAAACAGGAUUAGAUACCCUGGUAGUCCACGCCGUAAACGAUGGGUGCUAGACGUUGGCGGGCUUGCUCGUCAGUGUCGCAGCUAACGCGUUAAGCACCCCGCCUGGGGAGUACGGCCGCAAGGUUGAAACUUAAAUGAAUUGACGG
Molecule: ribosomal RNA, 395 nt
Filed under: uncultured bacterium
Lineage: Bacteria
Description: bacterial SSU rRNA
Rfam family: Bacterial small subunit ribosomal RNA
Source: RNAcentral